Cyprinus carpio carpio is the source of this 1093-nucleotide long non-coding RNA. The record is from Ensembl. Lineage: Eukaryota; Metazoa; Chordata; Actinopteri; Cypriniformes; Cyprinidae.
AAAAACUACAAACAUGGCAGAUACACAAGACUGAUGUUAAUAUAAAGGAGGUUUGAGUGAUUAAUAAUCAAUAUCAACCUGAUGAAACAUUAUUUCUUUAAUAUUAUCCACAUUAUGUUUCAUCUGCAACAACAUUGUAACAUUUUAUGAGAAACCAUAGAUAUGUAGAUGUAGAUUCGACUGCUUCAGAUACAUCGAUGCAUCCGCCACCUUGGAACAGUCAACAUGUCACUCAAAGUAAAAGAUGCACAGCCUCUGGUUGUAAAAACCGCAGAGAUUUAAACUCCAGAAGAAAUGGGAUAAACUUUCACAGGUGAGAAUGAGUUGAUUUGUGUUUUUAUAACUCAAUCAUUCAUCACAGUCAGGAGCUCAUGUGCCCUGAAAUUAUUGGAUGUUAAGGAAAACACUGUAGUGUAAGUUCAUUUAAUUUGAUAUUACAUAUAAUUUGUGUAAAAUGUAAAGUGUUGCAUAUUUUAUUGGUACAGAGAAGGAUUUGUGUAUUUUGUAAAAACGUUAUCAACUUCGUUUUAUCAUUUACUUAGAAGCGCCACAAUUAAUUUAUCCUUCAUAGGGACUACAGAACAGAUACUUUAAAGUUUAUUUUAAAGUGCAAAGUAUAACAUGUACAAAAUGUGUUAAAUAAAGCUCUGUAGAAACUUAAUUUUUUGCAGCACUGAAAGUGUGUCAUUGGUUAAUCAAAAGUACUUCACAUACCCACACUUGUGGCUUUCACACCAACUUGAACACUUUGGCCAAAUACAGGAAAUACGUCACGCAAGUAAACAACCGGUCAAGUGCAAAGACUACAUGUAUGGGCAUUGUGACUGACUCUAUGUAUAUUUAGAUAUGGUUUAAAUGGUAACAGGAUGCAUGCAAGUCUCUGUUAAAGAUGCAAUUGUGAUGAGCUUGUUUUUCCCAAACCUCGUCUACUAUUCUGCUACACACUCUAAAUUAUGAAGAUACUUUUUCAUCACAAAAUGUGCACAUACUUUUAAGACAUACUGUACUAUAAGUAGGUGAAUUGGGACGCAGCACCUUUGAGUCACACUCAGUCAAAAUCUAUUGCUAGAUCACUGCAGACUCUUAAUGUAAU